Molecule: long non-coding RNA, 426 nt
Filed under: Arachis ipaensis
Lineage: Eukaryota; Viridiplantae; Streptophyta; Magnoliopsida; Fabales; Fabaceae
Description: long non-coding RNA (AIPA_LNC000174)
Source: RNAcentral
CUGUCUCUCAGCCACAUAGUUAAUCCUCAGUCAAAUGUCAACUCGUAAUCACUUUAAUACACUCACAAACAAGUAGUGCAAGCAAGAGAUUCAAUUCAAUGUACAAGCAAGUCACAACAAGACAAACAAUACAAUCACAAAGUAAUAAGACAAGCAAGCGCAAUAAAAUGCAAAUGUGCAAACAACAUGAUGCAUGUCUAUCCCUAACGCAGGCCAUGAGCUCAUGUGUCGGUUGCCUACCCGCUCCCGACAUUACCCGGGCACAAGUCCCAGAUAUGGCUUUCCAGAUGCAUCAGUGUGCUUAUAAGUCGUACGGCUAGGCCGCAUCAGUGUGACUUUCCAAAUCAAUAAGCGUACAUCUGGAAAACAGUUCUCAGUGUGUGGGCGUCCCCACUUUACAUUUGGCACUAAGGCCCAAACAAUGUC